AUGCAAGUCGAACGAAGCAUUUAAGAAGGAAGUUUACGGAUGGAAUUGUUAAAUGACUGAGUGGCGGACGGGUGAGUAACGCGUGGGCGACCUGCCCUGUACAGGGGGAUAACAGUUAGAAAUGACUGCUAAUACCGCAUAAGACCACAGUGCUGCAUGGCACAGUGGUAAAAACUCCGGUGGUACAGGAUGGGCCCGCGUCUGAUUAGCUAGUUGGUGAGGUAACGGCUGCACCAAGGCGACGAUCAGUAGCCGGCUUGAGAGAGUGAACGGCCACAUUGGGACUGAGACACGGCCCAAACUCCUACGGGAGGCAGCAGUGGGGAAUAUUGCACAAUGGGGGGAACCCUGAUGCAGCGACGCCGCGUGAGUGAAGAAGUAUUUCGGUAUGUAAAGCUCUAUCAGCAGGGAAGAAAAUGACGGUACCUGACUAAGAAGCCCCGGCUAACUACGUGCCAGCAGCCGCGGUAAUACGUAGGGGGCAAGCGUUAUCCGGAAUUACUGGGUGUAAAGGGUGCGUAGGUGGUACGGCAAGUCAGAAGUGAAAGCCCGGGGCUUAACCGCGGGACUGCUUUUGAAACUGUCGAACUAGAGUGCAGGAGAGGUAAGCGGAAUUCCUAGUGUAGCGGUGAAAUGCGUAGAUAUUAGGAGGAACAUCAGUGGCGAAGGCGGCUUACUGGACUGAAACUGAC
This 692-nucleotide ribosomal RNA is filed under the name uncultured Lachnospiraceae bacterium. Its description in RNAcentral is "bacterial SSU rRNA". It matches the Rfam family "Bacterial small subunit ribosomal RNA", at positions 55 to 744 of the family's 1533-position model. The record is from RNAcentral. Lineage: Bacteria; Bacillati; Bacillota; Clostridia; Lachnospirales; Lachnospiraceae.